AGUGAACGCUGGCGGUAGGCCUAACACAUGCAAGUCGAACGGCAGCACAGUAAGAUCUUGCUCUUACGGGUGGCGAGUGGCGGACGGGUGAGGAAUACAUCGGAAUCUACUUUUUCGUGGGGGAUAACGUAGGGAAACUUACGCUAAUACCGCAUACGACCUACGGGUUAAAGCAGGGGAUCUUCGCACCUUGCGCGAUUGAAUUAGCCGAUGUCGGAUUAGCUAGUUGGCGGGGUAAAGGCCCACCAAGGCGACGAUCCGUAGCUGGUCUGAGAGGAUGAUCAGCCACACUGGAACUGAGACACGGUCCAGACUCCUACGGGAGGCAGCAGUAGGGAAUAUUGGGCAAUGGGCGAAAGCCUGAUGCAGCAAUACCGCGUGGGUGAUGAAGGCCUUCGGGUCGUAAAGCCCUGUUGUUGGGAAAGAAAAGCAGCAGGUGAAUACCCCGCUGUUCUGACGGUACCCAAAGAGUAAGCACCGGCUAACUUCGUG
RNAcentral lists this ribosomal RNA (492 nucleotides) under uncultured bacterium. Its description in RNAcentral is "partial 16S ribosomal RNA". It matches the Rfam family "Bacterial small subunit ribosomal RNA", at positions 29 to 507 of the family's 1533-position model. The record is from RNAcentral.